UGCCACAGCCAUGUCACCCUGCAGCCCAAAACCAGUUGCUCACUAAAGCUAAGCAGGGCUGAGUCUGGUCAUUAACUGGAUAGUAGACCACAUUGGAAGGCUAGGUUGCUGUUGGAA
This is a ribosomal RNA of Danio rerio (zebrafish), 117 nucleotides long. NCBI's taxonomy places the organism in Eukaryota, Metazoa, Chordata, Actinopteri, Cypriniformes, Danionidae. The record is from Ensembl.